UACGUAGGGGGCAAGCGUUGUCCGGAAUCAUUGGGCGUAAAGAGCGUGUAGGCGGUUCAGUAAGUCUGCUGUGAAAGUCCAAGGCUCAACCUUGGGAUGCCGGUGGAUACUGCUGAGCUAGAGUACGGAAGAGGCGAGUGGAAUUCCCGGUGUAGCGGUGAAAUGCGUAGAUAUCUGGAGGAAUACCGGUGGCGAAGGCGGCAUCCUGGACCGGCAUUGACGCUGAGGAGCGAAAGCUAGGGGAGCAAACGGG
Molecule: ribosomal RNA, 253 nt
Filed under: uncultured bacterium
Lineage: Bacteria
Description: partial 16S ribosomal RNA
Rfam family: Bacterial small subunit ribosomal RNA
Source: RNAcentral